UACGAAGGGUGCAAACGUUGCUCGGAAUCAUUGGGCGUAAAGCGCACGUAGGCGGCCUGAUAAGUCGGAUGUGAAAUCCCUCGGCUCAACUGAGGACGUGCAUUCGAAACUGCCAGGCUCGAGUAUGGAAGAGGGUCGCGGAAUUCCCGGUGUAGAGGUGAAAUUCGUAGAUAUCGGGAGGAACACCAGUGGCGAAGGCGGCACUCUGGGCCGGUACUGACGCUGAGGAGCGAAAGCGUGGGGAGCAAACAGG
RNAcentral lists this ribosomal RNA (253 nucleotides) under uncultured bacterium. Its description in RNAcentral is "partial 16S ribosomal RNA". It matches the Rfam family "Bacterial small subunit ribosomal RNA", at positions 524 to 776 of the family's 1533-position model. The record is from RNAcentral.